Chelonia mydas (Green sea turtle) is the source of this 1987-nucleotide long non-coding RNA. RefSeq lists it as uncharacterized. Lineage: Eukaryota; Metazoa; Chordata; Testudines; Cheloniidae. The record is from RefSeq and is a predicted model, not a curated record. The transcript is spliced from 2 exons.
CUACAGCCUCUUUGAAAUUGUCAAUUGCUGGAUGUUGUAAUUUUCCCCCUCUACAGGCUGAACAAUCAAAGGAGGAACAGAAACAGGGUUUAAGUGCUGAAAAAUUGAUGAGAAAAGCUUCCAAGGAUGUGUGUCGGUUACGGGAACAGAGCCAGAAAGUGCCACUGCAAGUGCAGUCGUUCAGGGAGAAGAUAGCUUACUUCACAAGAGCGAAGAUCAACAUACCAUCCCUACCAGCAGAUGAUGUAUAAUUACAUUUUUCACUGAAGUAUUUUUUCCCUCGCUCAUCUUUUUAGAUGAACGUUUUAUAGUUAGAACCUCCUGCUUUUAAAGAUCUUCUAUUUUACAUCCGACUAUAAAGAUGUUCAUUUGUAAAAUACAGCGAACUGAGUUCUUGUCUGUUAAAAGGCGCCAAACAAACAAACAAACCACAACUAGCAGAAAACCAAAGUGGAACACUUCUGGUACACGGAUGCUAAUUUUGUACAGUUUGUAUGUAUCGCAUGUGUGCUCUUAUUUUGUAAAGAUGGAACAAAGGAAAGUGUGUAUCCUGUUGAACCGCACUGUGUUGAGAAAUAUUACGUUCAACAGAAGAUUGUUUGUCUUUUCACUAUUUUCACAUGAGCAGACUGUGAAGAUGGCUGUUAUGCCAUGCAAUAUUUUUGUACAAGUGUGACUUUUAUAGUUGGAAAUUAACCAUGAAUGCAAGCUCCUUUCCAAAACAGCAAGGCUGCCUCGUAACAGGUGCUCUUUAGAUUUCCAUCACCUACGUUGGGAUUUUGUUUCUGAAAACCAUUUCCUGACUGUCCUUUUUAUUUCUGUGAAGAAAGAAGGUGGAGUACUGAGUGCAGGAGUAUAAUUUUGUGAAUGUACAGUAUUUUGGGCUGCACUGUACAGUACUUUGCCUCUGCAAGGUGGGGAGGGGAAAGGGCAGACCAGUAACCCUAAAACCUCUUACAGUGACACUACCAAAAGGGCAGCUGCUUUCUGAAACUGAAGCUGAAUCAAAUUCACAUCAAAGUGUUUAUAGAUGAGUAGUCAUACCACUGCGCUGUCAAAUCGUACGUUUAAAUGUAACCUUUUGACCUAAAUGUUGUCUACUUUUGUCAACAAGCAGUAUGUAGAAAAGAUCAGGUUCAUGAAAAAUUAAACCCGUGCUGUUGUCAGAAGAGGAAAAACUACCCAUCAAAUUCAAAAUGAAUCCACUGACGCAAGUACCGGAAGUAUUGUUGGUGUAGAAAUCCAUGCUGGAAAAAUCUGUGACCUAGAAACCAUAAACUGUUUCAGUUGGGUAUGUACUCCAGUUCUCAUUACCUUUUUUUAAGUAAAUGAAACACAAGCUGUUUUUCAGAAUAAUGAUGGUUCAAGUUGAACAAACUUAAGGAGUAAAUGUGAACAAGAUGUCUAUCAAAAUAGAAUUUUCGCUUAUCUGACCAGACCUUUUUGUUUCACAAUGUGGAUGUGCUUGUCAUCGUCCCUGGGGAAGCAUGCGACUGCAUCAGAUCUGGAACAAAGCAUCUACAACACGCUGUUGGGUAAAACAAAACUUUGUGGUUGAUCUUAUAGCGAAAACAAUGUAACUCAACUUGUAUCUACAGUACCUAAUCUCUGAAGGUUUUUGAAAAAAAUGUUAAAUUCAAAGAUUUUUUCUUUUUUCUAUGGAUAGAAUCUUUGUCCUUAACCUACAGAUUAUAUUGACAAGCCACCUAUACAUAGCACUUCACUUUUCCAGAAAAUAAUUAGCCUUGUUGAAAGAUGAAGAGAACAUAGCUACAAUAUGUUUGCGAAUGUCAAGGUAAGAAAAUUCUGUGCCUAGAAUCUUUUGUUAAACACACCAAGGAUUUUCUUCUGAUACACAAAUACAUUUAAAGGAUUUGAAAUAAUAAAUGUAUAACUGGAUGCCACACAGUUCUGAACAAGUGCCAGUCAGGCCAACUGACUGAGCAUCAUUCUUCAUGGAUAUCCAUUUAUUGCUGUUCUUUUAACA